UGCGUAGGCGGGGCAAUUAGUCAGUGGUGAAAUCCUGCGGCUUAACCGUAGAAUUGCCAUUGAUACUGUUGCUCUUGAGUAUAGUUGAGGUGGGCGGAAUGUGUAAUGUAGCGGUGAAAUGCAUAGAGAUUACACAGAACACCAAUUGCGAAGGCAGCUCACUAAGCUAUAACUGACGCUGAGGCACGAAAGCGUGGGGAGCGAACAGGAUUAGAUACCCUGGUAGUCC
Molecule: ribosomal RNA, 229 nt
Filed under: uncultured bacterium
Lineage: Bacteria
Description: partial 16S ribosomal RNA
Rfam family: Bacterial small subunit ribosomal RNA
Source: RNAcentral